Long non-coding RNA from Chelonia mydas (Green sea turtle), 3479 nucleotides. RefSeq lists it as uncharacterized. NCBI's taxonomy places the organism in Eukaryota, Metazoa, Chordata, Testudines, Cheloniidae. The transcript has 2 exons. The record is from RefSeq and is a predicted model, not a curated record.
CGAUGAAGUGAGCUGUAGCUCACGAAAGCUUAUGCUCAAAAUAAAUUUGUUAGUCUCUAAGGUGCCACAAGUACUCCUUUUCUUUUUGCAGAUACAGACUAACAUGGCUGCUACUCUGAAACAUGUAAUUUAGACAGACCUCCUGGGCUGUCUAAAUUAUGCCAGGGGCUACUCCAGUUCUAGAGCAGUCGAGGACUGGGAGGAUGCAAAGGUGGCUUUAAAACCACACUACCUUCCCCUUCCCUGGGCUGGGAGUUCUGUGCUGAGCCUGUAAGAGGGGCAGCAUAAAAUCUUACCAUUAAUUGAGGUGCGUGGAAAGAUUUUUUGUGCUGAUAGGCACUGAAAAUUCAAUGUCCUGUCAAGGAUGCAUCACAUUGAGGGUUACCUUGAGAACGAGUCAAACAUUUGAGGCCAUCAGUAACAACCAUCCUUAACAUAGUAGUAGCUGAUAAGGACAGGAGCAUACAGUUAAUUCUGUUUCUCCCUCUUUCUCCUCAAACAAACACCAAGAGCAUGAGGUUUUGGAGUGAAAGACAUUCAUGUGUUUUCCUGAACAAUUAUUUGCAAGUGUUGCUAUAAUGCUCAGCAUUGUAGUAUAUAAGGACGCUUCCAGUAGCAGACAGAAGAGGCUCUGAUGAAAAGUUAAAAAAACCCUAACUCCAUAGGGCUAAAUUCCAUCCUUAGAUGUGCAACUCCAGCCCAAAAGUUCCAACCCUCUGAAACCUGUAUAAUAAAAUAGUUGGGAUAUUUAAGUUCAGUUCUUAGUGGAUAUGUUUUCAGCUUCAUGCCACCAUUGCAACUGGCACUCAAGUGUCAGUAGAAAGGAAAGAACUGAAUUUAUGUGGGGACUGAAUUGCUGCUACAGGGGAUCCCUUCAGGUUCUUAGGGAGAUACUAGCAAUGCCACCUACUUUUAGUACACUGAUACCUGUUCUAGGUGGGAAAGGAUUUCAUUCUCUGGUCUAUGCACCAUCUCAUCCAAGUGCUAAACUCAUCGUAAACUUAAUAUGUCAACACAUACUAUGUCCUAGGGCUUUUUGUCCUUUCUCUGCUGUCUUUCUGGACUGCUACUAGAAAAUUUAGUUCCAGCAUCUUUCUUUUAAUGUAGUAAGUGUGGACAUCACACAAACUGAUUAUGCAACAUCACUUGGUAAUAAAGCUCGAGUUAAUAGCAACAAAGAUUGCUUUCAACCAGUUACUUUGGAAAAAUGUAUAUAACUCGAUUAGCAAAGUGGCUUUUUUUGACCUAGGCUAAAGAAUCCAAAGGUAACAGAGCAUGAUUUUCCAUAGAGGGCCAAGCACCUGUAGUUUUCAUUUACUUCAGUUGGUGUCAUGGGGGCUUCCACACUUCUGAAAAACAGAUCUCAUCUCAAGGCAUUGGCUUUCUGUUCUAAAAUAUUCAGCAUUAUAUUAAGAACAAAUGUGUACAUAUAGAAAGAUGAUUUUUAGAACAAAAUGUGCUAUGAGUGAAAUAUUUCAUCCUGAAAAACUAAACUAUUUGCAAAAUUUAUAUUCUAAAAAGGAAUUUUAAAGAGUCUAGAGCCAAGUGAAUUAUUGCACUUUAAUCAAAACGUAUUCGAACAGAUAAUCUAAUAUAGUGUGUUGUGAGAACUGUACCUCAAAUACUGAAAGCAGCAUUAAAAUUGCUUUAAUACAAACAAUGCAAGGAAAUGAGAUUACGAAGGAUUUUUUUGGAAUUGCUUUAGUGAGUAACUAAAUGCACAAGUGUUACUUGGAAAUUGCACAUUGCUAUUCAAACUAUGCUAUUAGUAUGUAAACAUUGAUCAGGUAUUUCUCUGAGAUAUACAAGCAAAAUUCAAUUAAUUUAACAAACAAACGUUGAGGUUUAAUCUAAAUAAGUAAAUGAAAAAUGUGAAUGUAGGAUUUCCUGAUGAUAGCAUGUUUAUUAAUAAACGGUCAUUCAAUUGAAUUUGAUAACAACAACUGUGUACACUAUCUUUUGCAAAUUUAAUUAUUUUGUUGAUAAUUUGCAGAGGUAAUAAAAUACAGUUAAAUAUAUUAUAAUGAUUUAUAAAGAUGAGAUAUCUUUAAAGAAUCAAAGAAGAAAUUCAGUUUUCACCACUCAAACACAGUACUUUAAUGCUUCUGGAUUAAGUAUAUAGCAUCAAAUUGCUCAAUUAUAGUGGCACAAAUCUGGAGUAGUGCCAUUCAAGUAACUAGUGACUUUCGUUUUACACCAUUGUAAUGGAGAGCAGAAUUUGGUCCCCGGGAUUUACUUUGUAAUCCACUAUACUGCAGAUUAUUUGGCCGGUUACUGCAGGCCAAAUUAUGCCCACAGGUGCCUUCCCUGCAGUUCCAUUGACGUUAAUGUGAGUAUGAAGACAGAAUUUGGUUCUGUGUUUUUUUUGAAGAAUAACCAUUUGCUGGUGCUACUUGUGAAGGGAGUGGAGGAAGAAAGAAAAUAUCCAUACUAAUUGUUUGAUUUAAGGUUGAGGUGUAAUGCUUAUUAAAAAUAUGAACCAAACUUCUGGUAUGUUCCUAUAGUCCUCACUAAUCCCAUUUAAAUACUUGGGCCUCAGUUCAGCAAAGAUUUAAGCACAUAGUGAAAUCCCCAUGACUUCAAUGCUCAAUGAAUUGAGGCCUUAAAGACCAGUGCGCAACAACGUCUGUGGUUUAGUCACAGGGAAAUGCAGUGUUCCUCCCUCAGCCCUGGUUGGGAUGCCUCAUAUCUUUAACCUAAUGAACAAGAGCACGCACACACAUCUCAGCUCCUUCUCCUCCUGCAGGUCAAGCAGGCUGACAAAUCUGUCAAGAUGUUAGUUCCCACCAAUCGCAAUGCAGGGGAUAGCCACGAUUCCAUGAAAAAUUCAAUUCCCAUGAAGGUCAGAGAUUAUCUGGAAAUUGAAGGACCUGACAGAAGCCAAAUUAUGCCUACCCCAACUCACAGUAAAGUAGUACUUUACUCUAUGACUAGUUCUAGUGAUAUGAAUUAGGGUUACCAGUGAAGUAAAAUAUGACUAGAUACAAUUAAGGGUAACCAAAUCAGACCCCAAACUGAACUCAGCCCCUGUUUAAAAAAAAAAAACUUUACAUUUUCCUGCUGAAAUUCUAGUAAUCACUUUUUUACCAAAUAUAUAAAACCUACAAAUAAGUAUAUUUGUCAAUGUAUUUAUUUUCAGGGUUUUUUUAAGCUUAAAACUAUAAACAUUUUGUUUGAUAAUUACAAUUAUUUUACUUGAUAAAAAUCUUUGUAAUAUUGUUAGUUCUAUAUAAACAUCCUAAUUUCAGUCUUGGUCCUUGGACUUCAGUGGGUGAAGGAAUGGGCCUUAAAUAGCUGUUUAAAGAUGAAAAUGAGUCUUAUGUAGAACCUGCACCAUGAAACACAUUUCUUCAUAAAUUUCUUCUACAGACAAGUGCACGUUGCUUUGGAAUCAUCCAGUUCAUCAAUGCUCACUCCAUAAAGAUUAAUAAGUUGUGGGUGCACCCUACGAAGUGAAGAAAUAAAAAUAAAGUAACUUA